GCUACGACCACACCGGCCUGAGUACGCCUGAUCUCGUCUGAUCUCGGAAGCUAAGCAGGGUCGGGCCUGGUUAGUACUUGAUGGGAGACUUCCUGGGAAUACCAGGUGCUGUAAGCU
This is a ribosomal RNA of Oncorhynchus tshawytscha (Chinook salmon), 117 nucleotides long. NCBI's taxonomy places the organism in Eukaryota, Metazoa, Chordata, Actinopteri, Salmoniformes, Salmonidae. The record is from Ensembl.